UGAGGAAUAUUGGUCAAUGGGCGGGGAGCCUGAACCAGCCAAGUCGCGUGAGGGACGACGGUCCUAUGGAUUGUAAACCUCUUUUGUCGGGGAACAAAGGCGCCCACGGGUGGGCGGAUGAGUGUACCCGAAGAAAAAGCAUCGGCUAACUCCGUGCC
RNAcentral lists this ribosomal RNA (158 nucleotides) under uncultured bacterium. Its description in RNAcentral is "partial 16S ribosomal RNA". It matches the Rfam family "Bacterial small subunit ribosomal RNA", at positions 355 to 509 of the family's 1533-position model. The record is from RNAcentral.